GGGAAACUGACGGUACCUGCAGAAUAAGCACNGGCUAAAUAACGUGCCAGCAGCCGCGGUAAUACGUAGGGUGCAAGCGUUAAUCGGAAUUACUGGGCGUAAAGCGUGCGCAGGCGGUUCGGAAAGAAAGAUGUGAANUCCCAGAGCUUAACUUUGGAACUGCAUUUUUAACUACCGAGNUAGAGUGUGUCAGAGGGAGGUGGAAUUCCGCGUGUAGCAGUGAAAUGCGUAGAUAUGCGGAGGAACACCGAUGGCGAAGGCANCUUCNUGGGAUAACACUGACGNUCAUGCACGAAAGCGUGGGGAGCAAACAGGAUUAGAUACCNUGGUGNUCCACNCCCUAAGCGAUNUCAANUAGCUGUUGGNCCUUUCGNCCNUUGGUAGCGCAGCUAACGCGUGAAGUUGACC
This 408-nucleotide ribosomal RNA is filed under the name uncultured bacterium #0319-6B19. Its description in RNAcentral is "partial 16S ribosomal RNA". It matches the Rfam family "Bacterial small subunit ribosomal RNA", at positions 463 to 870 of the family's 1533-position model. Lineage: Bacteria; Pseudomonadati; Pseudomonadota; Betaproteobacteria. The record is from RNAcentral.